This is a long non-coding RNA of Oryzias latipes (Japanese medaka), 368 nucleotides long. RefSeq lists it as uncharacterized. NCBI's taxonomy places the organism in Eukaryota, Metazoa, Chordata, Actinopteri, Beloniformes, Adrianichthyidae. The record is from RefSeq and is a predicted model, not a curated record.
GCAAAUACACAGCGUUAGGGUGUGCACGUCAGGACUUAGCACAACAGAGUCCGCCACUCGGUUCAGCCGUCUCCACAUCUGUCUGCAAAAACUCCGAGGACUGUAAGAGCACAGCGGUGGCUGCAGCCAGUAUAAACAAAUCUCUGUGACGAAUGGUACCUCAGUAGGAAGAUGAUAACAAAGGCCAGGAAAGAACCCUUCUCCUUUGCUUUCUGUGACAACACAACAAUACUCAACCCAACUUAGAAAAGGGGAAUGGAAAACUUGACUAAAACCAUUUUUUACACAAUGAUGUGUUUCAAGUUCAAAGUUUACAGAAGAGUCAAGUAAAUGUGAAUUAAUUAUUAAUACAGAUCUUGCGAAAGCAG